UCAGUAACACGUAGUCAACAUGCCCAGGGGACGUGGAUAACCUCGGGAAACUGAGGAUAAACCGCGAUAGGUCAUAAUAUCUGGAAUGAUUUAUGGCCAAAAUCUAACAUGGCCCCUGGAUUGGACUGCGGCCGAUCAGGCUGUAAGGUGAGGUAAUGGCCCACCGAAACCUAAAACCGGUACGGGCUCUGAGAGGAGAAGCCCGGAGAUGGGCACUGAGACAAGGGCCCAGGCCCUAUGGGGCGCAGCAGGCGCGAAAACUCUGCAAUAAGCGAAAGCUUGACAGGGUUAUUCUAGAGUAGAUAAUCCGCUAAGGAAUCUUAUUGGCACCUCUAAGAAU
Molecule: ribosomal RNA, 340 nt
Filed under: unidentified archaeon
Lineage: Archaea
Description: bacterial SSU rRNA
Rfam family: Archaeal small subunit ribosomal RNA
Source: RNAcentral